RNAcentral lists this ribosomal RNA (235 nucleotides) under uncultured Candidatus Saccharibacteria bacterium. Its description in RNAcentral is "partial 16S ribosomal RNA". It matches the Rfam family "Bacterial small subunit ribosomal RNA", at positions 584 to 818 of the family's 1533-position model. Lineage: Bacteria; Candidatus Saccharimonadota. The record is from RNAcentral.
AAAGUGAAUAGUGAAAUCUGGGGGCUCAACCUCACAGGCUAUUAUUCAAACUCACAAGCUCGAGAGCAGCAGAGGUAACUGGAAUUUCUUGUGUAGGAGUGAAAUCCGUAGAUAUAAGAAGGAACACCAAUGGCGUAGGCAGGUUACUGGACCAUUUCUGACACUGAGGCACGAAAGCGUGGGAGCGAACCGGAUUAGAUACCCGGGUAGUCCACGCCGUAAACUAUGGAUACUA